UCCGUAGGUGAACCUGUAAGUGAUACUAUCUCCCGCUUAUGUCAUCUCUUCUUCAUACUAACAUACUCUCUAGGCGGAGGGAUCAUUA
Molecule: ribosomal RNA, 88 nt
Filed under: Astrothelium macrocarpum
Lineage: Eukaryota; Fungi; Ascomycota; Dothideomycetes; Trypetheliales; Trypetheliaceae
Description: partial 18S ribosomal RNA
Source: RNAcentral